GACGAACGCUGGCGGCGUGCUUAACACAUGCAAGUCGAGCGGAAAGGCCCUUCGGGGUACUCGAGCGGCGAACGGGUGAGUAACACGUGAGUAACCUGCCCCAGACUUUGGGAUAACCCUCGGAAACGGGGGCUAAUACCGGAUACGACACAGCUUCGCAUGGGGUCUGUGUGGAAAGUUUUUCGGUUUGGGAUGGGCUCGCGGCCUAUCAGCUUGUUGGUGGGGUGAUGGCCUACCAAGGCGACGACGGGUAGCCGGCCUGAGAGGGCGACCGGCCACACUGGGACUGGGGCACGGCCCAGAAUCCUACGGGAGGCAGCAGGGGGGAAUAUUGCACAAUGGGCGGAAGCCUGAUGCAGCGACGCCGCGUGAGGGAUGACGGCCUUCGGGUUGUAAACCUCUUUCAGCAGGGACGAAGCGUAAGUGACGGUACCUGCAGAAGAAGCGCCGGCCAACUACGUG
This 462-nucleotide ribosomal RNA is filed under the name uncultured bacterium. RNAcentral describes it as "partial 16S ribosomal RNA". It matches the Rfam family "Bacterial small subunit ribosomal RNA", at positions 28 to 507 of the family's 1533-position model. The record is from RNAcentral.